Molecule: ribosomal RNA, 231 nt
Filed under: uncultured bacterium
Lineage: Bacteria
Description: partial 16S ribosomal RNA
Rfam family: Bacterial small subunit ribosomal RNA
Source: RNAcentral
AAACCUGCCGUAUACUGGGGGAUAACACUUAGAAAUAGGUGCUAAUACCGCAUAAGCGCACAGCUCGCAUGAGACGGUGUGAAAAACUCCGGUGGUAUACGAUGGAUCCGCGUCUGAUUAGCUUGUUGGCGGGGUAACAGCCCACCAAGGCGACGAUCAGUAGCCGGCCUGAGAGGGUGAACGGCCACAUUGGGACUGAGACACGGCCCAAACUCCUACGGGAGGCAGCAG